AUUAUUAUUCUUCUUCUUCUGGACAAAACUUCGGCGCGUAACUUGUCCCGCAGUUUUUGUCCUAGACCCAUGAAUGAGGUGUCAAAUCGACCGGCUCAUUGAGGAGAGGUGUGCUAUGACUUUUAUAAGCGAUCGGCCCAACGAUGUUCGCACAGGGGGCGAAAAAGCGGCCAAAAAAGUCCCAUUGACUUUCAAUGGCGGAAUGUUCAGAAAUUUGAAUCUCAACUGUCACUUUCUCACACACACACACACACACGCAGGGCCUUAGAACCCUUUCUGUCACUCACUCACAUCUCUCACUAUUGAUCACAGUGUCAUAGAGACAAGGGGGCGGGCUCAUUUCACUCAGGCAACCAAUCAGUCUCUCAGGAUCAAUGUGACGCUAUGAAGCCACGCCCUAGCAACCAUAUAGAGCACCAUAGCAACAGGUUCCAUAGACUUCCAUUCAAAAAGGUCAAAGAUAGUCCUUUGGAUAGAAGUGUCAUAGGAACAUGAGGGUGGGCUCAUUUGACUCGGGACAGCAAACGGCCAAUCACGAAUCACCUUCAAGACUUCAUAGCCACGCCCUAGCAACCAUUUAGAGCACCCUAGCAACCCAAAGCAUAGAGGGAUAUCUUUAAAUCUCAAUAUCAUAGAGGCAUGGGGGUUGAUUUAUAUCAUUCAUACUGGCAAGCAGCCUUUGGAGUAUCAUCAUUGGCAGCUGCCAAGCCACUCCCUAGCAACCAAACAGAGUACCCUAGCAACCGUUUUGCAAGACCUAUAUCUCUGCAUCAGAACAUCGUAGAGACAUGGCGGUUGGCUUAUAUUGGCAAGCAGCCUUUGGUGUAUCAUCAUUGGCAGCUGCUAAGCCACUCCCUAGCAACCAAACAGAGUACCCUAGCAACCGUUUAGCAAGACCUAUAUCUCUGCAUCAGAGCAUCGUAGAGACAUGGCGGUUGGCUCUUUCGACUCAUGCUAGCAAACUGGACUUCCAACAUGCUACACAUGCUAGCAGUGAAUAGCUACAUGCUAAUGGUGAUUAGCUAAGUGCUAAAGUGGGCUAAGAACAUGCUAAGAACUCUAUAAAAACACCAUAGUAACCAUCUGUGACAACUACCAACCACCUAGUAACAUCAUAGCAACCACCCAGGUUACCAUAGCAACUGCCUAGCAACCACCCAUAACACCCUAGCAACCACCUAGCAACACCGUAGCAACUGCCCCAAGUACCUUAGCAACUGCCUAGCAACCGCCUAGCAACCACCCAGGUUACCAUAGCAACCGCCUAGCAACCACCCAGAACACCCUAGCAACUGCCUAGCAACACCUUAGCAACCACCCCAAGUACCUUAGCAACUGCCUAGCAACCGCCUAGCAACCACCCAGGUUACCAUAGCAACCGCAUAGCAACCACCCAGAACACCCUAGCAACCGCCUAGCAACACCUUAGCAACCACCCCAAGUACCUUAGCAACUGCCUAGCAACACCCUAGCAACCACCCAGGUUACCAUAGCAACCGCCUAGCAACCACCCAGAACACCCUAGCAACCGCCUAGCAACACCUUAGCAACCACCCCAAGUACCUUAGCAACUGCCUAGCAACACCCUAGCAACCACCCAGGUUACCAUAGCAACCGCCUAGCAACCACCCAGAACACCCUA
This is a long non-coding RNA of Ctenopharyngodon idella (grass carp), 1642 nucleotides long. RefSeq lists it as uncharacterized. Lineage: Eukaryota; Metazoa; Chordata; Actinopteri; Cypriniformes; Xenocyprididae. The transcript is spliced from 3 exons. The record is from RefSeq and is a predicted model, not a curated record.